AAAAAGCAAGCUAAAAAAUAUCCUUCAAAUCUAGUAACAAGUAAAUCAGGAACUUCAUGUAUAAGGUGAACCAAUUAGCAAGUCAGGCAUGGACCCUCAAGUGUUUUCUUGGAAAAAAUCAUAACUUCACCAUCCCUAUCAGCAGUACAGUGUAGACUGUCAUCAAUUUUACCUCUAUAAAAUGAUUCACUUACAUGGCAAUGAACCUAGAAAAGAAUUGAGAUAUUCAGGCCCUUCUUUAGACAGGAAGGGCAAUGGUGAAAGUAUCACUGCCAAGAUCUAUCCAAAGGAAAGAUCAACACAUUGCUUGCCUGAUAAAGCAGCUUUACAUCAAGUGCUAAUUUUGACCCCUCACCUCAAAACUGGACAUCUAUAAAAAUAUCCGUACGAAAUGCUUCCUGCUACUCCAGAAUUUGCAUGUUAGUCCAGAACUUGAUGCUCAUACCAUUUAACAGGAGAAAAAAGAAGUGGAGACCUUCAAAUGUCAUUGUUUCAUCAGUUCAGCCACCAAUGCUUGAGCCAUGAUCAAGUGCACUAUCACUAAAACUACCAACAGCAACCACUACUCACUUCCAGUACUCCUUCGAGAUGCGUAAUCUAGAUAUAUUUAAAAAAAAUAAAGAAAUAAGACAUUAAUAUUCUGCAGUAUAAACAAGUUCUAAAUGAUUUUGUAUGUGUUAUACCUCUUGAAGGCCCUUUUCCUUCCAUUGCUUCCUUUUUUCUUGGCAGCCUUGGCAAAGGAAUGGACCAUCCCAAGGAUGCAAUUUUCCAGGCUGCGAUAAACCAGCAUGUACAGAAAUGCCCUCACCAGGUUUCAUCUCUACCUGGCAAACCGCACAUAUGAAAAGCUUGAACAAGUUGCAUAUUGGAUAUUCUGCUUCUAACCUGCAGCCCACAAGAAGUUCAUUGAUUAUUAAUUAUCACAGAAAUGCUUAUAUCCCACAUUAAAUGUUUGUCCCAAACUCAAAUGAUAUUUGUUGCAAAUUGUUUUUCUCCAAGUUCAUAAAACUAGUUUUAUCUUAUGGUUAUAUACAAGAGAUUGCUGUACGUUUUUGUUUUUAAAUGUUCACUCACAUGCAUUAGUUUCAAAAGCGAAGCACUUGAAGCACCACAAGUAUCCUCAAGGUCUCUCACUUGGGAAAGUGCUAACAAGAUAGCUUUUUGAAGAUAACAGUAUGCCGUACACCUUUACUAUUGAUGGCAUAUUAAUGCAUCAACUCAUAUUAUAUAUAGGAAUGGAAUGGGCCAGAUUCCAAGCCAAGCAUGGAUCCAAUCCAAAUUUUUAAACACAAGGCGUAGGCUUAAUCCAGCACAAAAAUGUCUAUGCGGUAUAGCCCCAAACACAAACAAAGAUUUGGACCAGGCUGAAACAUUUCAAAAACAUGCUAGAGAUAGAAGAGAGAGAGAGAGAGAGAUCGGUGCUGACUUGCCAAGGCUGUCAGCAUCAACGACCAAGGGCAUGGGAAGUUUUAGGUUGCUAGAGGGUGCGUCAACAAGGUCAUUGGGGUUGUGUGGGACCAUCAAUUGGUGCAGUUGAGGUCAGGACCAUCAGGUACUCCCAUGGAAGAGAAGAGAGGGAGGCUAGUGGAGGGAGAAAAGAGAGGGAUCAGGAGGAGAACAGGAAGAUAGAAGGAAAGGAAAUAAAAGGAGGAGAGAAGCAAGAAAUGGGGAGGAUGGGAAUGGAAGAGGAGGAGAGGAAUUAGGUUUUGAUUUGGGCCAUCCAUCAAACAAAUAAAUGGAGAAGUUUUGUUUUUAAUAAAAUAUCCUUAUAAAGAAGCGCCCUUUUCUGGAGAAGUUCAGGUAUUCCUAGUCUUAUCAUGCAAAGGAAAAUUGCUUCAGCUGAAAAUUUGAGAAGAAAUAAUUGGCCUACAUCAUUGGCAUAUGAUUUGUGCAAUGUAGAAGAAGAAUCUCUUCCUCCUUUGUUUGCCAAUUGUGGCUAGUCUUGUCAGGUUUAGGUUUAUUUCUUAUCUAAAAGGGGGUUCACUGACUCCACUGUUUCUCAACAUCAAAUUUUGUUUCUCUAAGAUCAGGAAAGCUGCGAUGUUGGCCGGUAUUAUGCUUGCAGCCACUAUCUGUUUAUCUAUUUGCAUAUAAAGAAACAAAAGAUUGUUUGAAAACCAGUCUGAUGAUGUUGUUGAGGUGGUGGAUAAAGUUACCUUUCCUCUUGAAGAUUGGCUGAGCAAGAGCAAAGUUCAGUGUUGCUGAAAUUAAAUAUUUCUGUCUAUUAGUUAGUUAGGGAUCUAGAGGAUUGUUAGACCUUUUUGGGUUGCUGCUGUUCAUAAUCCAUCUAAUUACUUGAUAGUUGAGAUAAAGUUGAUCUCCAGUCUUUCGUUUUUUCUCUUUUUAUAGUAUUUCUUAAUGUCGUUUAACUCAUUUGUAUUUGCUCUACUUUCAUAUACUUCGAAAAGUGAUUAGACACAGCCUGAUCUUUUCACAAAAAGCUAAGACAAAAUAAAAUAAAAUAAAAUGUGCUUAUACUUUAACAUGUUAUAACUAUUCAAUAAGGCUCCAGAACAAGCUNNNNNNNNNNNNNNNNNNNNNNNNNNNNNNNNNNNNNNNNNNNNNNNNNNNNNNNNNNNNNNNNNNNNNNNNNNNNNNNNNNNNNNNNNNGAAAGUAGUUGGUCCCGGGCAUAUUUACAGCCCUAAUUAAUACUCCAAAUAUUGUUUUCUCAUUCUAAAGUGAUAGAUUAGAUUAAAUAUAUGGGACUGAGUUACAAUUUGACUCUUAAUUUACAACUGGUUUACUGGAGACUAAUGCAGUUUUCCAUCCUGACACUUGGAAUGGUACCCCAUCUUGGCAUCCUACAAGACAUCCCACUGGGGUUUGAAACCAUGCUUACCACCUUCCCUCUUUGGCUACACACUUUUUAAGUUACAAGGAAAUUCAAGGGGUUACUUCUUGGUUGCGUGAGCUUAUACUACAAUGAAUAAAGUAAAUUUCUUGCAUGCCAAAUGGCUUUCCAGGAUUCCUGGAAAGCUCCUCUUUUGCCUAAAGUUACCUAGGUCAGGAAUUCAGCAUCACUCUAAGAAACUUGACAGGUUGACUGCUAGUCACGAAAAUCUACUGAAAAUUCAUAAAAACUUCAUGAUUUACAAUGUGCAUUUCAACCAAGAAAUGCUUUGUUGUGAUGAUGCUUUAUGAUGAUGGUGAUGAAGUAUACUAGAAAAAAAGAAUGCAAAAGCAUCAAUGCCCCGUACUGCCCGGUACAAGGCGUAUCAUACCGUACCAAGAGAAACUGAUACGAAACUUCAAGUCGGUACAAGCCCCAUACCAUCUCAUAGCGAGAUGUAUCGAGGUACAUACAAGCCAGUACCGAGGCAUACCGACCUGUAUUGAGAUAAAAAUUGAAAAAAAUUGUUAGAAAGCUAUUUCAAUACAGAGGUGUACCAUACCAAACCGAAUUGAUAAGGUACCGAUACGGUACUUAGUACCAAGAUUGCGGGCCUUGAUCAAUAGUAACCAUUGAUUCAAUGACGAAACAAAUUUACUUAUCAAGUUCUAAAUCAAAAUACUGACCUUUUGGCAAGCAUUGCUGAUCCCUCUUCAUAUAUUUCUUCUACCACAUCUGGCUCAGAAUAGUCUCCAUCUGAAUGAGAUGUUGACUCACAAGACUUUCUGUGAAACAUAUGUUUGAAUACCCCUAUCCCUUGCCUCUUUGGUAGUGGAACAGUAGGAGUUACCUUUUCUAGAGGUAAUAUAUCAACUACAAUGCAGGUAGUAUCAUCUCGUAGUCCUUUGACUUGUACAGCUUCCUACAAAUGAAGAUAUAUAAAAUAACUAGCAGAAACCAUUAGAUGCGGCUCAGCCAAAAUGUAGGCAAACCAUUAGGAUGCGGUACCUUAACAAUCUGACUCGCUGCAACAUCUGCUGACAGGCCACGUGAGCAAUUAAGAGUCAUUUCAAAAGUCAAAGCAUCCCAUACGCCAUCACUUGAGAUGAUAAGUCGACCACCAGCAUUUGAUAGCUGUAGUUCAUCAGAAUCCAUUAUCUUGGUUAUGUUUCAGAAUGGCAAUAAUACAUCAUACUAAAGAACACAAAGGUUGAUAUUACAACAAUAGGUAUUAACAUGCAUAUAGUGUAACUACAUCUGAAAAUAAGUGGGAAAAAGACAGAUCCAAGAAAGAAGUGAAAUAUAUCAUGAGACAACAAUAAUUAGCACCAGUCUCUACUGACGUACUUAAACCACAGUUAAGUGAACAAUUUUAAGUACUGUUGUCUGUUGGAGUCAGCAUGGAAUUUAUUAUGUGCCAACAACGCAGACAUUUUCCAUACAUAGAUCUGGAAAAGAUAUUUCAUUUUGUCAAAUGAUACUUAUAAAAAGUCCAUGAACAUAUACCAAUGAAACUUUUUUUCUCAGUGAUACUGAUUGAGACGCUUUGUAGGUUGUAUGUGUGGAUGCUUGGAGGCUCAGCUGUUAUCUCCAUUGAAAAUCUCAUUUAUGGACAUGAGGUACACUUGGAAUGUUGAAAUGAUAAGGAGCAGGAAGCCAUACAAUCAUAUAAUUGGAGUAAUGUUUCUAAUUGCAUCCGUGUAUGUUUACCAUUAUCCAUAUGAAAUUGUUGUGCCCCAACAAUUUGAGGACAUCAACAGCAUCUGUGAUCUCUAACAUUUCCCCCCAGUAUGUAUGUAACAAAUUUUACACAAACAUAGUUUUCAAAAAAGUUCGGGGCCAAAUAAAUAAUAACCAAACCUGUGAAUAUGUCAGCAUGGUAGAGUAUCAGUUAAUGAGACGGCAAUAAGAAAUGAUGUUCUGGCAUAUAAACAAUGACCUGGAAACUAUCAUGAUCUAUGUCAUGUUGGCAAGUCCAGACACACGGCAUAUUGCACGAUAUAGUAUGUAAAAUUGGCAACAUGAAACAUGGGGUUAAAUCACAGUGCAGUAAGGCAAUACAAGUGAAUAUUACAGCUGCAAAAUAUAAAUUACCGACUUCUGGUAUAAAAUGAUUUAAUACUUAGAGAAGAAAGGGUUCCCGAAAGAAUAUACCCUGAAGGAAAUCAAGGAAAAAUACUUUCUUUUAGAUUUAGUGUGUAACCUAAUUUUUGAGAGACCAAUUAAAACAAAACAAUUUUUUGUUUAUGGGAAACCAAGUAUUCAAAAAAUCCUCAUCUUCGAUAUGCUGGGAAAAAUACUCAAGAUCUAUUAUGCCAGCUCCAGAAAAAACUUCAUAGGAGCACAUGAGAGAAAAUUUUACCCAAAAGACUAUUUGCUUAAAAAAAUCCCUCAGAUUAUAGAAAAAAGAAACAACAAAAGAAUAAUUGAGGAAUAAAUACAGAAGAAGGAGACAGUGAAUUAAGAGUUGAGGAGAGAAGAUGGGUGGGUUUGGUUUAAGAGGGGUUUAAAAGAAAGACUGUAUAGACUUAAUGCCAGUUUGCUCAGUUCCUGCCCACAUUAUAUUAUUUGGGUGACCAGGUAUAAAUGUGCAAACCUGCAUAAAAAAGUUUGGAACUGACCAAAUAAUGUAACAAACAGAAAAACAUGCAUGGUACCAUGUUAUUUAUGAAAACAAUGAAUUUACAUUAGAGAAAUGAGUCUCCAGAACUCCUCCCAAUCUGAAGCAUUGGAAGAACAACCAAUUAUGUAUCCUACGAAAGGCCUAUAUGAACUCAACAAUGAUUUGAUCUUUCAAGUUAUGGAUAGAGUGACCACUUCCUAAUAUUCAACCUUGACCCAAAUACAAUGUUUUCAGCAUUGAUGUGCUUGGUUCCUUCAUGAAGGAAGAGAUCAUAAAGGCAUAUUAUCACACUAUAAUGUAUGAAAAUGCAGCUUAUUACAUCUUAGUAAGAAGAAACUGUAAGAACAUGAGUUUGCAGUAUGUGCUAUGGCUACGUAAUUCAAGUUCAACUGAAAUUCUGCUAACUAAUUAAUCCAGUGAAAAAAAAUGAACUAAAGAACAUAGACAUUUUGGGGGAAAACCUCGAAGUGAUGUUACCAUUCUAACCCAACAAAAGAAUGUUCCCAUCCAAAGCAUAUCUACUAUUUUUUCAAUGUCUUCCCAGGGGCAUGCAAGAGUUACUUAGCAAUGAUGACAACCACAGAAAUUAUCUGGCAUGUUACUUUAAAGGAAAAAAUUCAAUGUCACAAGUAUAGUUUGUGUAUAAUACAAUGAGAAGGAAUAUAAUCAUAAAUUUGACCACUACAGGAUGGUGAACUCAGUGUAUGACUAAGUAAUAAAGCACAGGGUCUGAAAUGAGAAGUUCAAAAUGAGAAGCCAAAGGAAGCUUAGAAAGUAAAAUAAAUAGACUACUACAUUUAAGAUGGUAUGGAUGUGUUUCCUAUACAUUAGAUGUAACCUAUUGAGGAGUCAUAAAUUCAAUUUCUGAUGCUGUAAAGAGCACUAGUUGACCAAAAAACCAAUUUGGCCAGAAGUACUAAGGAAAGUCCUGAAAGAAUUGAAGGACUUAAGCCAUAAAUAAGAAUUAAUGAGCAAGAACAAAUAGCUUUCCUUAGCCAUAAAUAAGAACUUUUCAUCCAAGAUAGAUCAACAAAACUAUCUUAUCUCUGACUAAAAAUCACACAUAUCCCUAUAUUUUUGUAGCAUGAAUAUGUAAUUCUUGCAUUAUGUAAACUCACCACACACUGUGUACAUGUUCAAUAGUAGCAAAAUGAAUACAUAGGAAGACCUAUAUGAGGCUAAGGAAUGGACCAGGCUCAAGUGAUCUCACCCCUUGCCCAGAUCCAACUCAAACCCAUGCAAUUAUGUCCAGUAGUCCAAAAGAGGAGACUACCGCAAGGUGAUAGUGGAGCAGCAGAUGGCUAUGUAACCCAGAUCCUUCAAUUUAGCCUUAAAACCCCACACCCAACACUUAAACAUGGUUAUUGGUAAGCUUUUAAAUAUGAUUCUGAACUGCAUACUGUUUUUCCAUCGAAACGGUAUGGUAUUGAUACAGUACCAGUACUAAUAGUGCAUAUCAAAAUUGAAGACAUCUGAAUGAAUGAAAAACCAUCAGAAUAGAUAGGUACAAUCAGUAAGGUAUUGUUGAUAUGAACGAAGAUGUCUUAUCUGCUGGUAUGGAUGAUUCCAACAUCCUAGUACCUCUACUAGUGCUGGUUUCACAUUUGAAUGAUAUGCUACUGAUGGUACCAUCUUGUUCCAAUGGUUUUUGAAUCCAUGGUUAUUGGUAUAGGCUGACGGAGAGACAAAAGUGAUGGCAGCCAUCAAGAGGACGGAGAUGUUUUGAUAUGAUUUUGGGUUAGAUUUAGCUAACCAUGUUUCAUUUAGUUUCAACAAUUUCAACUCCAGUUUCUCAAGGAAAUACAAUAGACAUUGUUUUAAAAUAUAUUACACUUUUGAUGUCCUUUUGGUGGUUUCAAGCUAAAGUUUUAAAACAUCAUUCAGAAGAUUACAAUAUAAAAAAGCUACUCUAACAUUUCAAUGUGUAAUAUAUAUUAGUGUUUGAUGGCAACCGAGAAUUUCUUAACAUUUGAAGUCAAAUAUGAGAAAGCUAUCUAAUCUUUGCAAUUACUCACUUGCCCAGUUUUUCUUUCCUUUUCUCCUUUUCCUUUUGUGGGAGGGGAAGGGAGGCAAGAUGCCCCCAUGUGACUCUUUCACAUUUGAAUAGACUCCUUAACCGAGAUUGGUUUGGAAGAUGCUAAGAAAAUGCAUCCUAUGUCCUAAAAUUUGCAAUUUCAGGUUUAAUCUUAACAAAAUGCUUCUCCUAGGCUUGAUUUCUCACCAAUGAGUAAGUUUCCCCUUUAUUUUCCCAAAGUGAUAAAAAGCUGACCCAAAAAUAAAACUAGCAAGUCUGAAGUACUCAAGGAGACGAAGAACGUGAUCUAGACAUAUCCUUCAAAUCUAGUAACAAGUAAAUCAGGAACUUCAUGUAUAAGGUGAACCAAUUAGCAAGUCAGGCAUGGACCCUCAAGUGUUUUCUUGGAAAAAAUCAUAACUUCACCAUCCCUAUCAGCAGUACAGUGUAGACUGUCAUCAAUUUUACCUCUAUAAAAUGAUUCACUUACAUGGCAAUGAACCUAGAAAAGAAUUGAGAUAUUCAGGCCCUUCUUUAGACAGGAAGGGCAAUGGUGAAAGUAUCACUGCCAAGAUCUAUCCAAAGGAAAGAUCAACACAUUGCUUGCCCGAUAAAGCAGCUUUACAUCAAGUGCUAAUUUUGACCCCUCACCUCAAAACUGGACAUCUAUAAAAAUAUCCGUACGAAAUGCUUCCUGCUACUCCAGAAUUUGCAUGUUAGUCCAGAACUUGAUGCUCAUACCAUUUAACAGGAGAAAAAAGAAGUGGAGACCUUCAAAUGUCAUUGUUUCAUCAGUUCAGCCACCAAUGCUUGAGCCAUGAUCAAGUGCACUAUCACUAAAACUACCAAC
This 8318-nucleotide long non-coding RNA is filed under the name Phoenix dactylifera (date palm). Its description in RNAcentral is "long non-coding RNA (PDAC_LNC004685)". The record is from RNAcentral. Lineage: Eukaryota; Viridiplantae; Streptophyta; Magnoliopsida; Arecales; Arecaceae.